UAAAAAAAGGUAAGCUACUAAGAGCGAAUGGUGGAUGCCUUGACUGGUAAAGGCGAUGAAGGACGUACUAGACUGCGAUAAGCUACGGGGAGCUGUCAAGAAGCUUUGAUCCGUAGAUUUCCGAAUGGGGCAACCCAAUGUAUAGAGAUAUACAUUACCUAUAUAGGAGCGAACGAGGGGAAUUGAAACAUCUUAGUACCCUCAGGAAAAGAAAUCAAUAGAGAUUGCGUCAGUAGCGGCGAGCGAAAGCGCAAGAGGGCAAACCCAGUGCUUGCACUGGGGGUUGUAGGACUGCAAUGUGCAAGAGCUGAGUUUAGCAGAACAUUCUGGAAAGUAUAGCCAUAGAGGGUGAUAGUCCCGUAUGCGAAAAACAAAGCUUAGCUAGCAGUAUCCUGAGUAGGGCGGGACACGAGGAAUCCUGUCUGAAUCCGGGUCGACCACGAUCCAACCCUAAAUACUAAUACCAGAUCGAUAGUGCACAAGUACCGUGAGGGAAAGGUGAAAAGAACUGAGGUGAUCAGAGUGAAAUAGAACCUGAAACCAUUUGCUUACAAUCAUUCAGAGCACUAUGUAGCAAUACAGUGUGAUGGACUGCCUUUUGCAUAAUGAGCCUGCGAGUUGUGGUGUCUGGCAAGGUUAAGCAAACGCGAAGCCGUAGCGAAAGCGAGUCUGAAUAGGGCGCUUAGUCAGAUGCUGCAGACCCGAAACGAAGUGAUCUAUCCAUGAGCAAGUUGAAGCUAGUGUAAGAACUAGUGGAGGACUGAACCCAUAGGCGUUGAAAAGCCCCGGGAUGACUUGUGGAUAGGGGUGAAAGGCCAAUCAAACUUCGUGAUAGCUGGUUCUCUCCGAAAUAUAUUUAGGUAUAGCGUUGUGUCGUAAUAUAAGGGGGUAGAGCACUGAAUGGGCUAGGGCAUACACCAAUGUACCAAACCCUAUCAAACUCCGAAUACCUUAUAUGUAAUCACAGCAGUCAGGCGGCGAGUGAUAAAAUCCGUCGUCAAGAGGGAAACAACCCAGACUACCAGCUAAGGUCCCUAAAUCUUACUUAAGUGGAAAACGAUGUGAAGUUACUUAAACAACCAGGAGGUUGGCUUAGAAGCAGCCAUCCUUUAAAGAAAGCGUAAUAGCUCACUGGUCUAGUGAUUUUGCGCGGAAAAUAUAACGGGGCUAAAGUAAGUACCGAAGCUGUAGACUUGCACACAACUUAGAUUAUUUAAGUUUAGAAUAUGAGAAACUAAGUUAUAUGUUUAGUUAUAUUUUUACUGAUUUUUAUAGAGUAAAGAUAGAAAUAAAACUUAGUAAAAUCAGUAAAAAUAUUCUUAGGCUAAAGUUAAGUAGUUUAAGUUGUGUGCAAGUGGUAGGAGAGCGUUCUAUUUGCGUCGAAGGUAUACCGGUAAGGAGUGCUGGAGCGAAUAGAAGUGAGCAUGCAGGCAUGAGUAGCGAUAAUUAAUGUGAGAAUCAUUAACGCCGUAAACCCAAGGUUUCCUACGCGAUGCUCGUCAUCGUAGGGUUAGUCGGGUCCUAAGUCGAGUCCGAAAGGGGUAGACGAUGGCAAAUUGGUUAAUAUUCCAAUACCAACAUUAGUGUGCGAUGGAAGGACGCUUAGGGCUAAGGGGGCUAGCGGAUGGAAGUGCUAGUCUAAGGUCGUAGGAGGUUAUACAGGCAAAUCCGUAUAACAAUACUCCGAGAACUGAAAGGCUUUUUGAAGUCUUCGGAUGGAUAGAAGAACCCCUGAUGCCGUCGAGCCAAGAAAAGUUUCUAAGUUUAGCUAAUGUUGCCCGUACCGUAAACCGACACAGGUGGGUGGGAUGAGUAUUCUAAGGCGCGUGGAAGAACUCUCUUUAAGGAACUCUGCAAAAUAGCACCGUAUCUUCGGUAUAAGGUGUGGUUAGCUUUGUAUUAGGAUUUACUCCGAAAGCAAGGAAACUUACAACAAAGAGUCCCUCCCGACUGUUUACCAAAAACACAGCACUCUGCUAACUCGUAAGAGGAUGUAUAGGGUGUGACGCCUGCCCGGUGCUCGAAGGUUAAUUGAUGGGGUUAGCAUUAGCGAAGCUCUUGAUCGAAGCCCGAGUAAACGGCGGCCGUAACUAUAACGGUCCUAAGGUAGCGAAAUUCCUUGUCGGUUAAAUACCGACCUGCAUGAAUGGCGUAACGAGAUGGGAGCUGUCUCAAAGAGGGAUCCAGUGAAAUUGUAGUGGAGGUGAAAAUUCCUCCUACCCGCGGCAAGACGGAAAGACCCCGUGGACCUUUACUACAGCUUGACACUGCUACUUGGAUAAGAAUGUGCAGGAUAGG
RNAcentral lists this ribosomal RNA (2298 nucleotides) under Campylobacter jejuni. Its description in RNAcentral is "partial 23S ribosomal RNA". It matches the Rfam family "Bacterial large subunit ribosomal RNA", at positions 1 to 2147 of the family's 2925-position model. The record is from RNAcentral. Lineage: Bacteria; Pseudomonadati; Campylobacterota; Epsilonproteobacteria; Campylobacterales; Campylobacteraceae.